UGCAGAGGUCCCAAGCGUUGUUCGGAUUCAUUGGGCGUAAAGGGUGCGUAGGUGGCGCCAUAAGUCAGGUGUGAAAUUUCGGAGCUUAACUCCGAAACUGCAUUUGAUACUGUGGUGCUUGAGGACUGGAGAGGAGACUGGAAUUUACGGUGUAGCAGUGAAAUGCGUAGAGAUCGUAAGGAAGACCAGUGGCGAAGGCGGGUCUCUGGACAGUUCCUGACACUGAGGCACGAAGGCCAGGGGAGCAAAUGGG
RNAcentral lists this ribosomal RNA (253 nucleotides) under uncultured prokaryote. RNAcentral describes it as "partial 16S ribosomal RNA". It matches the Rfam family "Bacterial small subunit ribosomal RNA", at positions 524 to 776 of the family's 1533-position model. The record is from RNAcentral.